Long non-coding RNA from Stegodyphus dumicola, 354 nucleotides. Lineage: Eukaryota; Metazoa; Arthropoda; Arachnida; Araneae; Eresidae. The record is from RefSeq and is a predicted model, not a curated record.
UUUUUCCAGUCUUUGCUGCAAAAGCAUUCAGAUCUUCUACCACUUCUAACUAGUGUAAACCGUUCUAAAGCAAAAAAGCUUACAAAGAGAGGUUAUAUGGUGUGGAGGAAAAUUAUUUUACUUUUAGGAGGAUCUAUUCCUAACAAAAACAAUGAAAUGGAGCAGAUGAAUGAUUCAUCUGAUGUGAUGCCAAAGAAAAGGAAAUCAUCAAAACAAAGUAAAAAGACGAAGAGAAGGCAUAUAGACGUUAUUUCAAAUAUGGAAAUUGAAAACAGUGAAAAUGAUGAUGAAAACAGCUAAUUUGUGUACACUUUUUAAAACUGUUAAUAAAAUAUUUAUUAUUUUGUUUAAAAA